This 344-nucleotide ribosomal RNA is filed under the name Photinus stellaris. Its description in RNAcentral is "partial 12S ribosomal RNA". The record is from RNAcentral. Lineage: Eukaryota; Metazoa; Arthropoda; Insecta; Coleoptera; Lampyridae.
UAGAACUGUAGUUUUAAAAUCUUGAUUAGUAUUAGUUAUAUUCUUGAAAAUUAAAAAAUUUGGCGGUAUUUUAGUCAAUUCAGAGGAACCUGUUUUAUAAUUGAUAGUCCACGAUAAGAUUAACUUACUUUUUAUUUGUAUAUCGUUGUUUAGAAUUUCUUUUUUGGGUUAAAUUUUCUAUUUUAAAAUAUUAAUUAAUUUCAGAUCAAGGUGCAGUUUAUAAGUAAGAAUUAAUGGGUUAUAAUAAAUUUAUUUUUGGUUAUUUAUUUUAAAUUUUAAAUAAAAUUAGGAUUUGAUUGUAAUUUAAAGAAUUUUCUUUAAGUGAUCAUUGUUCUAAAAUAUGU